AUUGAACGCUGGCGGCAGGCCUAACACAUGCAAGUCGAACGGUAACAGGAAGAAGCUUGCUUCUUUGCUGACGAGUGGCGGACGGGUGAGUAAUGUCUGGGAAACUGCCUGAUGGAGGGGGAUAACUACUGGAAACGGUAGCUAAUACCGCAUAACGUCGCAAGACCAAAGUGGGGGACCUGCGGGCCCCUCGCCAUCGGAUGUUCCCACAUGAGAUUAGCUUGUAGGUGGGGUAACGCCUCACCUAGGCGACGAUCCCUAGCUGAUCUGAGAGGUUGACCAGCCACACUGGAACUGGGACACGGUCCAGACUCCUGCGGGAGGCAGCAGUAGGAAAUAUUGCACAGUGGGCGCAAACCUGAUGCAGCCAUGCCGCGUAUAUGAAGAAGGCCUUCGGGUUGUAAAGUACUUUCAGCGGGGAGGAAGGGAGUAAAGUUAAUACCUUUGCUCAUUGACGUUACCCGCAGAAGAAGCACCGGCUAACUCCGUG
Molecule: ribosomal RNA, 490 nt
Filed under: uncultured bacterium
Lineage: Bacteria
Description: partial 16S ribosomal RNA
Rfam family: Bacterial small subunit ribosomal RNA
Source: RNAcentral